CGACUUCAGUUGAAAAUGGAGCGGAUGACCUGUGGAUAGGGGUGAAAGGCCAAUCAAACUCGGUGAUAGCUGGUUCUCCGCGAAAUGCAUUUAGGUGCAGCGUCGUGCGUUCAACGAUGGGGGUAGAGCACUGAAUGGGCUAGGGGUCCUACAAGACUACCGACCCCAAUCAAACUCCGAAUACCAUCGUUCCAGAGCACGGCAGUGAGACCUCGGGGGAUGAGCUUCGAGGUCGAGAGGGAAACAGCCCAGACCGCCGGCUAAGGUCCCAAAAUCUGAACUAAGUGGUAAACGAUGUGAGAUUGCGAAGACAGCCAGGAGGUUGGCUUGGAAGCAGCCAUCCUUGAAAGAGUGCGUAACAGCUCACUGGUCGAGUGAUCUUGCGCGGACAAUGUAACGGGGCUCAAGUUCAGUACCGAAGCCGCGGAUGCGACUCUUUGAGUCGUGUGGUAGUGGAGCGUCGAGCGUGCAGCGAAGCGGCGGGACAACCCAGCCGUGGAGCGCGUUCGAGUGCGAAUGUUGGCAUGAGUAGCGAAGGAGGGGUGAGAACCCCCUCCGCCGUAUGUCCAAGGGUUCCUGGGCGAGGCCAAUCCUCCCAGGGUGAGUCGGGAGCUAAGGCGAGGCCGAGAGGCGUAGUCGAUGCACAACUGGUUGAUAUUCCAGUACCACCAUGUUCGCGUCCGUCCCAAUACUCUGUUGCUAAGGGGCUGUGUUGACUUCGGUCAACGCGAACCGACCCACAUUGUUGCGGGAAGCUGUAGGGGGACGCAGGAAGGUAGAUGAACCCGGUGAAUGGUAGAACCGGGGUAAGCGUGUAGGAGGAGGACCAGGUAAAUCCGGGCCUCAUAAACUCUGAGACGUGAUACCGAGCCGCUUCAGGCGAAGUCAUUGAUCCUAUGCUGCCUAGAAAAGCCCAGCAGCGAGUUGACAUGGUGCCCGUACCCCAAACCAACACAGGUGGACAGGUAGAGCAUACCAAGGCGAGUGGGAUAACUAUGGUUAAGGAACUCGGCAAAUUGCCUCCGUAACUUCGGGAGAAGGAGGACCCCAGUAGCGUGAUGAGACUUGCUCUCUGAGCGUGAAGGGGUGGCACAAAAUUGAGGGAAGCGACUGUUUAUCAAAAACACAGCAGCGUGCUAAGCCGUAAGGCGCUGUAUACGCUGUGACUCCUGCCCGGUGCUGGAAGGUUACGGGGAUGGGUUAGUCCUUCGGGACGAAGCACUGAACCUAAGCCCCAGUAAACGGCGGCCGUAACUAUAACGGUCCUAAGGUAGCGAAAUUCCUUGUCGGGUAAGUUCCGACCUGCACGAAUGGAGUAACGACUUCCCUACUGUCUCAACCAUAGACCCAGCGAAAUUGAAGUACGAGUAAAGAUGCUCGUUAGCUGCAGAAGGACGGAAAGACCCCGUGGACCUUUACUAUAACUUGAUGUU
RNAcentral lists this ribosomal RNA (1433 nucleotides) under metagenome. Its description in RNAcentral is "bacterial LSU rRNA". It matches the Rfam family "Bacterial large subunit ribosomal RNA", at positions 780 to 2118 of the family's 2925-position model. The record is from RNAcentral.